AAAUGAAUAGACGGGGACCCGCACAAGCAGCGGAGCAUGUGGUUUAAUUCGAAGCAACGCGAAGAACCUUACCAAGGCUUGACAUCCCCUGCAUAGGAUGGAAACAUCUGAAAUCGUAGCAAUACGACAGGGAGACAGGUGGUGCAUGGUCGUCGUCAGCUCGUGUCGUGAGAUGUUGGGUUAAGUCCCGCAACGAGCGCAACCCUUGUGGAUAGUUGCCAUCAUUAAGUUGGGCACUCUAUUCAGACUGCCGUGGACAACACGGAGGAAGGUGGGGAUGACGUCAGAUCAUCACGCCCCUUACGUCUUGGGCUACACACGUGCUACAAUGGUCGUUACAGAGAGAAGCGAGCCGGCAACGGAUAGCAAAUCUCAAAAAAGCGAUCUCAGUUCAGAUUGUGGGCUGCAACUCGCCCACAUGAAGGAGGAGUUGCUAGUAAUCGCGAAUCAGCAUGUCGCGGUGAAUGCGUUCCCGGGUCUUGUACACACCGCCCGU
RNAcentral lists this ribosomal RNA (496 nucleotides) under uncultured bacterium. Its description in RNAcentral is "bacterial SSU rRNA". It matches the Rfam family "Bacterial small subunit ribosomal RNA", at positions 903 to 1397 of the family's 1533-position model. The record is from RNAcentral.